UACGUAGGGGGCAAGCGUUGUCCGGAAUCAUUGGGCGUAAAGAGCGUGUAGGCGGCCCGAUAAGUCCGCUGUGAAAGUCCAGGGCUCAACCCUGGAAUGCCGGUGGAUACUGUCGGGCUCGAAUCCGGAAGAGGUGAGUGGAAUUCCUGGUGUAGCGGUGAAAUGCGCAGAUAUCAGGAGGAACACCGAUGGCGAAGGCAGCUCACUGGGACGGUAUUGACGCUGAGGCACGAAAGCGUGGGGAGCAAACAGG
RNAcentral lists this ribosomal RNA (253 nucleotides) under uncultured bacterium. RNAcentral describes it as "partial 16S ribosomal RNA". It matches the Rfam family "Bacterial small subunit ribosomal RNA", at positions 524 to 776 of the family's 1533-position model. The record is from RNAcentral.